GCCGCGGUAGCUCAGUGGUAGAGCGCAGCCCUGAAGAGGCUGGCGUCGAGUGUUCAAUUCACUCCCGCGGCACAA
Molecule: transfer RNA, 75 nt
Filed under: Candidatus Wildermuthbacteria bacterium RIFCSPHIGHO2_02_FULL_47_12
Lineage: Bacteria; Candidatus Wildermuthiibacteriota
Description: tRNA-Phe
Rfam family: tRNA
About the family: Transfer RNA (tRNA) molecules are approximately 80 nucleotides in length. Their secondary structure includes four short double-helical elements and three loops (D, anti-codon, and T loops).
Source: RNAcentral